UAAAUACUUUUUUCUUCCAUUUAGGUACCAAGCAGGAGACUUUAGUGGCCAGUUGCUUGCUGAAGUUUCUGCUAUCAAGCACCCUCGGCAGAGCUUUAUUCCUGUAAAUAAUAGUCAAGUUGUAAUUAAACAAGAAACACGGGUAACCAAAAGCAAGCCAGUUAAAGGUGCACCUACGAAGAAACGUCAGUACAAAAGAAAAAGGCCAGAGUCCAGCUCAUCUAAAUCACUGUCUCUGCAAAUAGUCAUGGUCUGGACAUAAACUUAGGAGAACUUGCAAGUUCUGAAGAUGAAGGCUUGUCUUUGAGUCAGUCUGAUCAAGAUGAAGAUAAUGAUCCAGAUGGUGCAUAUGCAUUUAGGAGGAAAAAGAACUGCAGCUAUCACGAAGUAAUUGCUUAGUUUAUAUAUAAUUUUUUUUUUU
Parasteatoda tepidariorum (common house spider) is the source of this 421-nucleotide non-coding RNA. NCBI's taxonomy places the organism in Eukaryota, Metazoa, Arthropoda, Arachnida, Araneae, Theridiidae. The record is from RefSeq and is a predicted model, not a curated record.